This 254-nucleotide ribosomal RNA is filed under the name uncultured bacterium. RNAcentral describes it as "partial 16S ribosomal RNA". It matches the Rfam family "Bacterial small subunit ribosomal RNA", at positions 524 to 776 of the family's 1533-position model. The record is from RNAcentral.
CACGUAGGGCGCAAGCGUUGUCCGGAAUUAUUGGGCGUAAAGAGCUCGUAGGCGGUGUGUCGCGUCGGCCGUGAAAACCUGCAGCUUAACUGUGGGCGUGCGGUCGAUACGGGCAUCACUGGAGUUCGGCAGGGGAGACUGGAAUUCCUGGUGUAGCGGUGAAAUGCGCAGAUAUCAGGAGGAACACCGGUGGCGAAGGCGGGUCUCUGGGCCGAUACUGACGCUGAGGAGCGAAAGCGUGGGGAGCGAACAGG